UUGGACCUGAUAUCAGCA
This 18-nucleotide ribosomal RNA is filed under the name Phytophthora cryptogea. Its description in RNAcentral is "partial 28S ribosomal RNA". The record is from RNAcentral. Lineage: Eukaryota; Oomycota; Peronosporomycetes; Peronosporales; Peronosporaceae.